Long non-coding RNA from Bombus terrestris (buff-tailed bumblebee), 2467 nucleotides. RefSeq lists it as uncharacterized. The transcript has 2 exons. Lineage: Eukaryota; Metazoa; Arthropoda; Insecta; Hymenoptera; Apidae. The record is from RefSeq and is a predicted model, not a curated record.
AUCGAGAUUUAUGGUUCCGUCGAUCGAUCGUGAAAACUCGUGCGAGCAUUCGACGAGAUACCACGUGUCUGUUGAUAUCCGUUUUCAAUUUUUACGUCAUUUUGUACUCCUGGUGUAUGUUUUUUACGCGAUCGGCUUAUAGGUUCCGGGUUUCUUUUUCAGAACAGACUGAUUAUUUUAAGAAUAAUGGAAAAUACGUGAAAAUUACCUAGGAAAGUAGUUUCAAUUUAGACAAUUUAAUUUGUUUAGUGAGUAUCAGCUAUGAGAAUUAGAUAUGAUUGGAAUUAUAGGUGGAGAUAGGAGGAUAAUAGUGGAACAGAAAUUAUUCUAUUCGCGCCAUAUUUGAUUUGUAUUCACUAUAAAUAAGAAAUUAAGAUGUUUAUAGUGAACUAUAGUAACUAGAGUAGGGAUGUUUAUGAAAAUUCACAUUUCUAUGGAUAAAACUCAUAUAAAGAUUAGUUUUAGUCUCUAAGUAUCAUAAACAAUAUUUUGGAUAUCCUUGCACAUUAUAUGUAUUCUGUACAUCUGUAUAUAUCUAUGUGUUUAUACGUUUAAAUUUCCCAUAAACGCAUAAUAGAUAUAUGCAUAUCGCUACACACGAGGCACAAAUGACAUUCGAAGUCUGAUAAGCAAAAGAAUCGGGUCUAAUGCACGGAACCGACUCGUGGAUGCGCAUUUUAGCUUUAACCAUGAAGCGUACAUCAUGAGCCUAGCUCGCACAAAAAAGAAAAACUCACGAUAACAUCAGAAAGAACCUUUAUGAAAUUUGGAAUACAUACAUUUUCUAAAGAUUACGGUCUAAAAGCAUUUCGUAGAAUUUGUCUAUUAUACAACGUACACGAUUGCUUUGUAUCCUAUCAAUCUCCAGUGUGCAAGCAAAUAUUCUGUUACCAGAAUACGAUACUCCGAAAUGAGUACACUCUGAAUUCCUAUAACAAUAAGCAAUUCGUUAUGCAUAAUAUAGAUCAUGUACUUCAAAUAUACAACGAGAAGAUCAAAAUAAUAACAUUAAAGGUUCAAUAAAUAAGUUUCACAGAUUGAUGGAUUAUCAAUCGGUGGUUCAAUGACUCGAUUCUGCUAAGCAACGGAUUAAUUGAGGCGCGCCGGUAAUUCCGCUGGUAGAAUUUGCGGAAGUUCGCCAGGAAGGGUAUCCACGUGCGUUACGUGGAUACGACGUUCAAAACCGACACGGUGGUCCCGGAAUCUUGGCUCGAGAAACUCCAACGGUCCGAGUCCGCGCCGUUCGUAUUUCGAAUUAACAUCGCGACUCCGAACCCACGGCUAUAUUCGUUGGCCUUUGUUGGAACGCACGACUCGGUGGAACAUGGGUAAAGAUAGCCACAUUUCGUGGCAAAUGCUCGUGGUUUCGGGUCACGAUGACCUUGAAAGUAAUUAUCGACCAUUGCAUGAAUCGGUACAAACGGAUUUCUCCUCGAGUCUGCUUUUACUGAAAUUUUCUCAACGUACUAAUUUCGUAUUUUUAUUUGAUUAGUGGAAUUUACGCAACUGAUAUUUUAUUUACUUACGCUGGGCGUAGCUGCCGUUAAAAAAUUAUUAUCCUCCUGCUUCGCUGAACAGUCGAGAAGUUUAAGAAGAGUUAAAUCGUAACUUUUAAAUGUUGUGCGAGUUAAAAGGGAUUCGAAGCAAACACCGAGUGCGGUUUUAAGAUAUCACUCUGCCGCGACUGCUAUUUUGGAGAACAAUAAAAUUUUCAGGAAACCACGCAGAAUUCCUGUCAGAGAUCACAUCAUUCACUGGUCUCUGGAAAGUUUAUAGACAGCGUGAUUUCUACGACGUGGUUCAACGCAGCUAACGUGCUUUAACGACGAUUGAAAUUACCGAGUGUAUCCGACGGGAAUAUCUCUGGAUCUCGCCCUCGAUGUCAUAAAUAGCAGAUUCAUCUAAAAAGGAGUUGCAAGCUGGCAAACGCGUUAUUAAGGACGAGUUGACGCUUUAAAACCAUCGAGCUAUUUAGCCGCCACGCUGCAUGCAAACUCUGGAAUUAUGUAGCAUCCCAACAUAUUCGACUAAUAGAUAAAUUUAUGCGUUUUAAAAACACAGUAAGAAUGAUUGAGAGAAUUUAUUAAACUAUUCGUAUCGCGAUUGUCUGAUUAGCUGGCUUAGGAGAAUGAGUCAAUCAGCACACAGCCGAACGGUCCGAUCAUCAAUGAAUUUUUUACUAACGCUUUAUAUAUUAAGAAACUAUCUAUUUAGGUAACUAUUCGUAUUUAUGUGUAGUUUACUUUGUGACAGACCAAGAAACAAAUUCAACGAGCACUAAUCAGACAAAAAGUGAAAAGAAUAAGACAAAUCCAAAAAGUGUUCUGAAAGUGAUACUGCGUGUACCGGUCUAUUUCAUAGUGUUAUAUAUUUUAGAAAAAUGUCAAACCUCUCUUCAAGGUUCCUUCCAUCAAUACUGCACGCCAUAACUAUGAUACCAACUCCAUUAUAGGAGAUAAUAUAAACA